UACGUAGGGCGCAAGCGUUGUCCGGAAUUAUUGGGCGUAAAGAGCUCGUAGGCGGUUUGUCGCGUCUGUCGUGAAAGCUUGGGGCUUGACCCCAAGUCUGCGGUGGAUACGGGCAGACUAGAGGCAGGUAGGGGAGAACGGAAUUCCCGGUGUAGCGGUGGAAUGCGCAGAUAUCAGGAGGAACACCGAUGGCGAAGGCAGGUCACUGGGCCGCAACUGACGCUGAGGAGCGAAAGCAUGGGGAGCGAACAGG
Molecule: ribosomal RNA, 253 nt
Filed under: uncultured bacterium
Lineage: Bacteria
Description: partial 16S ribosomal RNA
Rfam family: Bacterial small subunit ribosomal RNA
Source: RNAcentral